Molecule: ribosomal RNA, 1284 nt
Filed under: Microbacterium phyllosphaerae
Lineage: Bacteria; Bacillati; Actinomycetota; Actinomycetes; Micrococcales; Microbacteriaceae
Description: bacterial SSU rRNA
Rfam family: Bacterial small subunit ribosomal RNA
Source: RNAcentral
GGGUGAGUAACACGUGAGCAACCUGCCCCUGACUCUGGGAUAAGCGCUGGAAACGGCGUCUAAUACUGGAUACGAGACGUGAUCGCAUGGUCAACGUUUGGAAAGAUUUUUCGGUUGGGGAUGGGCUCGCGGCCUAUCAGCUUGUUGGUGAGGUAAUGGCUCACCAAGGCGUCGACGGGUAGCCGGCCUGAGAGGGUGACCGGCCACACUGGGACUGAGACACGGCCCAGACUCCUACGGGAGGCAGCAGUGGGGAAUAUUGCACAAUGGGCGAAAGCCUGAUGCAGCAACGCCGCGUGAGGGAUGACGGCCUUCGGGUUGUAAACCUCUUUUAGCAGGGAAGAAGCGAGAGUGACGGUACCUGCAGAAAAAGCACCGGCUAACUACGUGCCAGCAGCCGCGGUAAUACGUAGGGUGCAAGCGUUAUCCGGAAUUAUUGGGCGUAAAGAGCUCGUAGGCGGUUUGUCGCGUCUGCUGUGAAAUCUGGGGGCUCAACCCCCAGCCUGCAGUGGGUACGGGCAGACUAGAGUGCGGUAGGGGAGAUUGGAAUUCCUGGUGUAGCGGUGGAAUGCGCAGAUAUCAGGAGGAACACCGAUGGCGAAGGCAGAUCUCUGGGCCGUAACUGACGCUGAGGAGCGAAAGGGUGGGGAGCAAACAGGCUUAGAUACCCUGGUAGUCCACCCCGUAAACGUUGGGAACUAGUUGUGGGGUCCAUUCCACGGAUUCCGUGACGCAGCUAACGCAUUAAGUUCCCCGCCUGGGGAGUACGGCCGCAAGGCUAAAACUCAAAGGAAUUGACGGGGACCCGCACAAGCGGCGGAGCAUGCGGAUUAAUUCGAUGCAACGCGAAGAACCUUACCAAGGCUUGACAUAUACGAGAACGGGCCAGAAAUGGUCAACUCUUUGGACACUCGUAAACAGGUGGUGCAUGGUUGUCGUCAGCUCGUGUCGUGAGAUGUUGGGUUAAGUCCCGCAACGAGCGCAACCCUCGUUCUAUGUUGCCAGCACGUAAUGGUGGGAACUCAUGGGAUACUGCCGGGGUCAACUCGGAGGAAGGUGGGGAUGACGUCAAAUCAUCAUGCCCCUUAUGUCUUGGGCUUCACGCAUGCUACAAUGGCCGGUACAAUGGGCUGCAAUACCGCGAGGUGGAGCGAAUCCCAAAAAGCCGGUCCCAGUUCGGAUUGAGGUCUGCAACUCGACCUCAUGAAGUCGGAGUCGCUAGUAAUCGCAGAUCAGCAACGCUGCGGUGAAUACGUUCCCGGGUCUUGUACACACCGCCCGUCA